GCGCGCGCAGGCGGUUCCUUAAGUCUGAUGUGAAAGCCCCCGGCUCAACCGGGGAGGGUCAUUGGAAACUGGGGAACUUGAGUGCAGAAGAGGAGAGCGGAAUUCCACGUGUAGCGGUGAAAUGCGUAGAGAUGUGGAGGAACACCAGUGGCGAAGGCGGCUCUCUGGUCUGUAACUGACGCUGAGGCGCGAAAGCGUGGGGAGCGAACAGGAUUAGAUACCCUGGUAGUCCACGCCGUAAACGAUGAGUGCUAAGUGUUAGAGGGUUUCCGCCCUUUAGUGCUGCAGCAAACGCAUUAAGCACUCCGCCUGGGGAGUACGGCCGCAAGGCUGAAACUCAAAGGACUUGACGGA
This 354-nucleotide ribosomal RNA is filed under the name bacterium CBIC21I1. RNAcentral's name for it is "bacterial SSU rRNA". It matches the Rfam family "Bacterial small subunit ribosomal RNA", at positions 565 to 917 of the family's 1533-position model. The record is from RNAcentral.